UGAAAGCAAAGAUGGAAGACCUGUCCUGUGGUCUCGAAUACCAAAGACACUGAAUCUAGGCCCCCAAGGCCAUGAGCCUGCCCCAAGGCAUUACUUCUAACAAACCUCAAGAGAUCUUGGUGUCUGCUUCCCAGAGGACCCAACUGACACAGGCCAUGUGACCUGGGACAGAUACCUGUCCAGUUUUUGUUUUUCUCAGCUGCGGACUGGGACUCUUGGCCAUAACCUGCCUCAUAGGGUGGUAGUGUGGAGUCACCGAAUGCAUACGGCGCCUGGCCCAGGUGGGCACUCCACACAUGUGUUAUGUCUCAGGAAUCCUGCUCGGCCUGUGGAUUUGAGUUGCAGGCAUCCUGCAUCCGGGUAUAGGAACUGCAGCAAGAUGUAGCCCUUGGACUCAUUCACACAUGCUUCUGAAGUAAAGUCAUAGAGACGCCAA
This is a long non-coding RNA of Hyaena hyaena (striped hyena), 436 nucleotides long. RefSeq lists it as uncharacterized. The transcript is spliced from 2 exons. The record is from RefSeq and is a predicted model, not a curated record. Lineage: Eukaryota; Metazoa; Chordata; Mammalia; Carnivora; Hyaenidae.